This is an unclassified non-coding RNA of Myotis lucifugus (little brown bat), 297 nucleotides long. Its record names the gene 7SK. It matches the Rfam family "7SK RNA". From Rfam's summary of the family: 7SK was discovered as an abundant small nuclear RNA in the mid-70s but a possible function has only recently been suggested. Two independent studies have found that 7SK RNA binds the CDK9/cyclin T complex (known as elongation factor P-TEFb). P-TEFb activates transcription by phosphorylating the C-terminal domain of RNA polymerase II. NCBI's taxonomy places the organism in Eukaryota, Metazoa, Chordata, Mammalia, Chiroptera, Vespertilionidae. The record is from Ensembl.
GAUUGUGAGGGCGAGCUGGCUUCGACAUCUGUCACCCCAUUGAUCGCCAGGGCUGAUUCGGCUGAUCUGGCUGGCUAGGCGGGUGUCCCCCUCCUCCCUCACCGAUCCAUGUGCGUCCCUCCCGAAGCUGCACGCUCGGUUGAAGAGGACGACCUUCCCCCCCCCAGGAGAGGACCAGUCUUCGGUCAAGGGUAUACAAGUAGCUGCGCUCCCCUGCUAGAACCUCCAAACAAGCUCUCAAGAAAACAUCAUUAAUUCAAUUCAUAUUACACUAUCAAAAUUUAAAAUAGAAAAUUU